RNAcentral lists this ribosomal RNA (440 nucleotides) under uncultured bacterium. Its description in RNAcentral is "partial 16S ribosomal RNA". It matches the Rfam family "Bacterial small subunit ribosomal RNA", at positions 338 to 795 of the family's 1533-position model. The record is from RNAcentral.
CCUACGGGAGGCAGCAGUGGGGAAUAUUGGACAAUGGGGGGAACCCUGAUCCAGCGACGCCGCGUGAGUGAAGAAGUCUUUCGGUAUGUAAAGCUCUAUCAGCAGGGAAGAAAAUUACGGUACCUGACUACGACGCCCCGGCUAACUACGUGCCAGCCGCCGCGGUACUACGUAGGGGGCAAGCGUUAUCCGGAUUUACUGGGUGUAACGGGAGCGUAGACGGUGCAGCAAGUCUGCGGUGAAAUGUCGGGGCCCAACCCCGGGACUGCAUUGGAAACUGUUGAACUGGAGUACAGGAGAGGUAAGCGGAAUUCCUAGUGUAGCGGGGAAAUGCGUAGAUAUCAGGAGGAACCCCAGUGGCGAAGGCGGCUUACUGGACUGUAACUGACGUUGAGGCUCGAAAGCGUGGGGAGCAAACAGGAUUAGAUACCCGUGUAGUC